Molecule: ribosomal RNA, 253 nt
Filed under: uncultured bacterium
Lineage: Bacteria
Description: partial 16S ribosomal RNA
Rfam family: Bacterial small subunit ribosomal RNA
Source: RNAcentral
UACGUAGGGUGCGAGCGUUGUCCGGAAUUAUUGGGCGUAAAGAGCUUGUAGGCGGUCUGUCGCGUCUGCUGUGAAAAUCCGGGGCUCAACCCCGGACUUGCAGUGGGUACGGGCAGACUAGAGUGUGGUAGGGGAGACUGGAAUUCCUGGUGUAGCGGUGAAAUGCGUAGAUAUCAGGAGGAACACCGGUGGCGAAAGCGCUCAUCUGGCCCAAUACUGACGCUGAGGCGCGAAAGCUAGGGGAGCAAACGGG